This 464-nucleotide ribosomal RNA is filed under the name uncultured bacterium. Its description in RNAcentral is "partial 16S ribosomal RNA". It matches the Rfam family "Bacterial small subunit ribosomal RNA", at positions 28 to 507 of the family's 1533-position model. The record is from RNAcentral.
GACGAACGCUGGCGGCGUGCUUAACACAUGCAAGUCGAACGGAAAGGCCCUGCUUGCAGGGUACUCGAGUGGCGAACGGGUGAGUAACACGUGGGUGAUCUGCCCUGCACUUCGGGAUAAGCCUGGGAAACUGGGUCUAAUACCGGAUAGGAGCCAUUUUUAGUGUGAUGGUUGGAAAGUUUUUUCGGUGUAGGAUGAGCUCGCGGCCUAUCAGCUUGUUGGUGGGGUAAUGGCCUACCAAGGCGGCGACGGGUAGCCGGCCUGAGAGGGUGGACGGCCACAUUGGGACUGAGAUACGGCCCAGACUCCUACGGGAGGCAGCAGUGGGGAAUAUUGCACAAUGGGCGCAAGCCUGAUGCAGCGACGCCGCGUGGGGGAUGACGGCCUUCGGGUUGUAAACUCCUUUCGCUAGGGACGAAGCGUUUGUGACGGUACCUAGAUAAGAAGCACCGGCUAACUACGUG